RNAcentral lists this RNase P RNA (333 nucleotides) under Methylophilus sp. RNAcentral describes it as "RNase P RNA component class A". It matches the Rfam family "Bacterial RNase P class A". Rfam says of the family: Ribonuclease P (RNase P) is a ubiquitous endoribonuclease, found in archaea, bacteria and eukarya as well as chloroplasts and mitochondria. Its best characterised activity is the generation of mature 5'-ends of tRNAs by cleaving the 5'-leader elements of precursor-tRNAs. The record is from RNAcentral. Lineage: Bacteria; Pseudomonadati; Pseudomonadota; Betaproteobacteria; Nitrosomonadales; Methylophilaceae.
GAAGCCAACCAGACAGUCGCCGCCUGUGCAAACAGGGGGAGGAAAGUCCGGGCUGCACAGAGCGGGAUGACGGCUAACGGCCGUACGCUGAAAGCUGGUAACAGUAUAAGGUGAGGAAUAGGGCCACAGAGACGAGCGUAUUAAGUUACGGUGAAACGCGGUAACCUCCAUCUGCAGCAAUAUCAAAUAGGCUGGCAUUUUACGCAAGUAAUAAGGCGUGGCUCGCGCUGCCAGCGGGUAGAUAGCUUGAGCGUGUGAGCAAUUGCACGCCUAGAUGAAUGACUGUCGCCACGCAAGUGGAUACAGAACCCGGCUUACCGGUUGGCUUUAUUU